CAGGAAUGAAUCUGUUGAAUUAAAUGAAUGCACUAUUAUCUAAGCUUAGUGCCUCUUGGACAACAUGUAAAAUUGGACUCUUAGCAAGCAAUACACUCUACUAUCUAAAUUCAAAUACAAUUAACGGUUAGUUUUCCUCAUAUUUCAUAUCUCUCUACCUUAACUUCCUGAAUUUUAUACCUAACUCUAUUUAUACUCUUUUGUUUUAUUGCUAAGGUUUGAGACAUGGAAAUGGCCAAUUUCUCCAUAUUAAAUGUAGAUCUUUUUAAAUAUGUUUUUCACCCACUUAACAAUCUUUUUGAAUGACCGUUGUUGGUUUGGAAGACCAGAUGAUGUCCACCUCACUGCUAACUCCAUUUUCUUUUUACUUCUCUUCCCUUUGUCUUUUGCUCCUUCUUCCCAGGCAUCUACCCACAAAAUCUCCUGACUCCCUUGUUAUUUGUUUCUUCCUGUCAUAUUUGCUAUGUUUAUAUCAACUUAAUGUUGACAGAGGUAUAUGUACUUUAGCUAUCUUUAUUAAGGUAUGGUGCUGUGACAUUC
Molecule: long non-coding RNA, 540 nt
Filed under: Pan troglodytes (chimpanzee)
Lineage: Eukaryota; Metazoa; Chordata; Mammalia; Primates; Hominidae
Description: long non-coding RNA NONPTRT001238
Source: RNAcentral